Molecule: ribosomal RNA, 786 nt
Filed under: Lactiplantibacillus plantarum
Lineage: Bacteria; Bacillati; Bacillota; Bacilli; Lactobacillales; Lactobacillaceae
Description: bacterial SSU rRNA
Rfam family: Bacterial small subunit ribosomal RNA
Source: RNAcentral
GGACGAACGGCUGGCGGCGUGCCUAAUACAUGCAAGUCGAACGAACUCUGGUAUUGAUUGGUGCUUGCAUCAUGAUUUACAUUUGAGUGAGUGGCGAACUGGUGAGUAACACGUGGGAAACCUGCCCAGAAGCGGGGGAUAACACCUGGAAACAGAUGCUAAUACCGCAUAACAACUUGGACCGCAUGGUCCGAGCUUGAAAGAUGGCUUCGGCUAUCACUUUUGGAUGGUCCCGCGGCGUAUUAGCUAGAUGGUGGGGUAACGGCUCACCAUGGCAAUGAUACGUAGCCGACCUGAGAGGGUAAUCGGCCACAUUGGGACUGAGACACGGCCCAAACUCCUACGGGAGGCAGCAGUAGGGAAUCUUCCACAAUGGACGAAAGUCUGAUGGAGCAACGCCGCGUGAGUGAAGAAGGGUUUCGGCUCGUAAAACUCUGUUGUUAAAGAAGAACAUAUCUGAGAGUAACUGUUCAGGUAUUGACGGUAUUUAACCAGAAAGCCACGGCUAACUACGUGCCAGCAGCCGCGGUAAUACGUAGGUGGCAAGCGUUGUCCGGAUUUAUUGGGCGUAAAGCGAGCGCAGGCGGUUUUUAAGUCUGAUGUGAAAGCCUUCGGCUCAACCGAGAAGUGCAUCGGAAACUGGGAAACUUGAGUGCAGAAGAGGACAGUGGAACUCCAUGUGUAGCGGUGAAAUGCGUAGAUAUAUGGAAGAACACCAGUGGCGAAGGCGGCUGUCUGGUCUGUAACUGACGCUGAGGCUCGAAAGUAUGGGUAGCAAACAGGAUU